UAUGUGUUAACUACCUGGAUCCACACUUGGAUCUAUACUUGCUAACGUGAAGACUUCCUGAGCAGGCCAAGCCCCUCCAUGAAAGUUAACAGAGGAUUCACUAUGCCUUGAGUAAUUUGUAAAGGAUGAGUGAACUGAGAAAAGCCAGCUGUCUGACAACAGGAUUAAAGCUGUUAGUCUGGUCUGUCUGUACAACCAAUGUAUCAGGGUCAAAAAAAGCGGAGAAUUACCAACAGCAAGUAUAUGCUGUCAGUGAUCCUACUUUUGUCUCCCAAGUCCUGUAACCUUGGACACGCACUGCUUGCAUGGAUCUGGGAUGGAAGAAGACAAAAUGAAAAGAAUGGGAACGAUAAUUGGAUAAAAAUAGCAAAGAAGUAAGCAAAGAAAACAAAAUAAUACAAGAGCUAGACACAAUGUAUAACUGAGAAAAUAAAUGUUCCAGGAUAUUGAAAAAAAAAGCAGUAGCAGAGGAAGAUGAAGGAUUUGAUGGGAAGAGUCAAGGGUGUGUGAACCGAAAAAUUGUUGCUCAGCUGGGGUAAGGGUCAAUUUAACUGUCAUCUCCACAGGGUCACAAUGGACCUGUCUGCUUCCUAAGUCUUCCCCAACAGUGCCCAGGGGCCAUAGCCUCAUGUCAGCCCUCAGGGCUCUUACUCCCUGCCCCAGUGAUGCUGCAGUGGGACUACUAGUCUCCAGCUCCCUGUAGCCCCACAGACUCAUGUCCCAGCUUAACUUCAGCCUAGCCCUGUCUCCAUAGACAGGCCCUGGACCUAAGUCUAGAGCUGCCCCAAUACCUCUAGCUGCUCAGCUUCUGUGUAUAUUGGUUGAGAGGACCUUGGAUGUGGCCCUGCAGCCUAUAGAGUAUCCAGAAAAUAAUUCUACUACCUACAGCUGAGCUGCCAAUUCUGCCAUGAAAUACAAAGUUUUAAAAUUUACUCAGCUGCUUUGCACGUAUUUCUGCAGUAACACUAUAUACAAACAGAAAAGGGGUGUCUUUAGUUAUUCCCUGGUUACUUAGCUCAGGUAAUUAGGUCAUUAUGCUCUUGAACCCAUGUGCUGUUGAAUUACGCUUGAAUAAAUAGCUGAUUUUCUCAGUUCACGUCCUACCCAAAAAAUCUGCUUCAACAGGCAGAAUGUUAAUACUGUAAAGUUAAUCUAAUGGAUAUUUAAGAAAUGCAUUCACAUGUAUAAUUUUUUUUCCUUUAUGUGGUUUGUAGUGCAAAUGCUGAGUCAAGGCUUGAACCAGUGAUAGAGCACUAGUAAGAAGGCAGGACCAACCCAAGGGAGCUCAGGUGCAUGCAAUGUGCCUGAGUGACCAAAAGGGGUGGAGCCAGGAUCCACCCCUUCCCAGUCCUCAUUUAAGGGCUGGUAGCGGAGGCAAAGGUAUCUUUUUGGAGGUCCCUCUGUACCUGAGGCAUUCUGGAGGUAAGUAUCUUCUUUUCCUUAUUUCUUGCCUGCUGUUGUAUUUAAGCAAAUUUUCUCUUUCUGUAGCCUGGGACCUUGUUGCUCUCUUGUCAUAAUUGGACAUUUCAUUGUGUUGCAGGUUGCAUUCUGAUGCCCUCUGUAAUUAGGUACUCAUAUACGUUGUUACCCUUCUUUAGUUCCUACUGGCAACAGACUGGAGGGAAAUAGCAUUGCCUCUUCUAUGUAUCUCUGCUCUUUAUUGUAGAAAAUGAAGUCCAUUUCACAGCAAUGGAUUACCUUGAUGACAGCCACCUGAACUGAGUGACCCUCUGCCACCAUCUGUCACACGGCAACAGCAUGCAAUGGAAUAUUGAUGGGAAGGUUCAACUUCUACUGCCAUACUACCAACAUCCACCUUUGAUGUCAUAGGCCAACAUCAUAAAGUAGGAGGGACUACUUUCAGAGUAGCUCUUGAAGAUGCAGAAGGACCACAUACAGCUAGGCACAGAUGAUGAAUCUCAGCUGAAAAAAAUCAGAUGGUUGGAGACUACAGAGUGCUGGGCUUCCAGCUUUCAGUGCAGGAGAUGGCAGAAGAAAGCAGGCGAUGUACAGGAAGAUUUACAGAAUUGCUGCCUGGACAGGAAAAGAAACUACCCAUGGAACUUCUCCAGACAACCUACCAGAAAGAGGAAUAGGUUGGUAAAAUUAAAGUUAUUGUAAUGUUUGCCUUUUUUUUAGCAUUAGUUUAGCAUUAGUAAGUUGCACCACCGAAUACUUGAUUUUUUCGGUUCUAGA
Tympanuchus pallidicinctus (lesser prairie-chicken) is the source of this 2196-nucleotide long non-coding RNA. RefSeq lists it as uncharacterized. Lineage: Eukaryota; Metazoa; Chordata; Aves; Galliformes; Phasianidae. The record is from RefSeq and is a predicted model, not a curated record. The transcript is spliced from 4 exons.